UUCGGUCCCUAUCUGCCGUGGGCGCUGGAGAAUUGAGGGGGGCUGCUCCUAGUACGAGAGGACCGGAGUGGACGCAUCACUGGUGUUCGGGUUGUCAUGCCAAUGGCACUGCCCGGUAGCUAAAUGCGGAAGAGAUAAGUGCUGAAAGCAUCUAAGCACGAAACUUGCCCCGAGAUGAGUUCUCCCUGAGACUUUAAGUCUCCUGAAGGAACGUUGAAGACGACGACGUUGAUAGGCCGGGUGUGUAAGCGCAGCGAUGCGUUGAGCUAACCGGUACUAAUGAACCGUGAGGCUUAACCUUACAACGCCGAAG
This 313-nucleotide ribosomal RNA is filed under the name Klebsiella pneumoniae. RNAcentral describes it as "partial 23S ribosomal RNA". It matches the Rfam family "Bacterial large subunit ribosomal RNA", at positions 2630 to 2925 of the family's 2925-position model. Lineage: Bacteria; Pseudomonadati; Pseudomonadota; Gammaproteobacteria; Enterobacterales; Enterobacteriaceae. The record is from RNAcentral.